Molecule: ribosomal RNA, 246 nt
Filed under: uncultured bacterium
Lineage: Bacteria
Description: partial small subunit ribosomal RNA
Rfam family: Bacterial small subunit ribosomal RNA
Source: RNAcentral
AGAAUCAACGCUGGCGGCGUGCCUAACACAUGCAAGUCGAACGAGAAAGUGGAGCAAUCCAUGAGUAAAGUGGCGCACGGGUGAGUAACACGUGACUAACCUACCCUUGAGUGGGGAAUAAACUUCGGGAAACCGAGGCUAAUACCGCAUAACACCUACGGGUCAAAGGAGCAAUUCGCUUAAGGAGGGGGUCGCGGCAGAUUAGUUAGUUGGCGGGGUAAUGGCCCACCAAGACUGUGAUCUGUA